RNAcentral lists this ribosomal RNA (375 nucleotides) under Triticum aestivum (bread wheat). Its description in RNAcentral is "partial small subunit ribosomal RNA". Lineage: Eukaryota; Viridiplantae; Streptophyta; Magnoliopsida; Poales; Poaceae. The record is from RNAcentral.
AUGGAAAAGGAGAAGGGCGACGAGGGCUGGCCUUGCCGCGGUGGUCUCCAUGGUGAGUCGAGCCGGGGCACACUGCUGCUGGCCAGCACGUGGACGAGCUCCUGCUCCUGGUUCGAGAGGGGGCGCAGGAAAUCGGGGCGCCGUGGUGCUCUGUGGCUGGACGUGGGAGGAGGCCAGAGGUCCUGCAGGAGAUCCUCUCCGGCGACGAGCACGCCAUGGAGGAGUCCCUCUCCUGUUGGGCUCGGAGAGCAGGACGAAGCAGAGCAGGAGGGGGUUCAAGUGGAGCUCAGGGAUGAGGGGAGAUCGGGCGCUGCUGGGCAGAGGAGCUCGGGCUCCUGCGGGAUUAGAGCGGCGCGUCUUGGUUGGAUCGAUUAG